RNAcentral lists this unclassified non-coding RNA (1049 nucleotides) under Hevea brasiliensis (rubber tree). The record is from RNAcentral. Lineage: Eukaryota; Viridiplantae; Streptophyta; Magnoliopsida; Malpighiales; Euphorbiaceae.
GUGUCAAUGUGAGGUUUCCCUAUGGAUGAUAGGUAUUCAUGAAACAAUUGGAGGAUAGUAUUUGUAGGAAAUAAGUCUGUUGGCUUAAUGUUUAUGCGUUGAGAGGGCUCAUGGCUCGAGAUGACACGAUGGGGUUUAAGUGUGGUGUCAAUGAUAUUUGAAACCGCUAAUUUUGGAACAGUUUUGCUAAAAAGGUGGUUUUGGUUCUGAUUUCCAGUUUCUGGAACAAGUGAGUAGUUUUGCAGAGAUUCAAUGGCAUUGUUAUCCCCAACCAAGAUCCAUGGUCAUGGAAAUUGGAAGAGAUGGAUCUUUCGAGGGCGAAGAAGAUAUGCAUUAAAGUGAAGUCGCUCUAACCAGGGGCCGUAUCUCAAUCUCUUACCCCUUUCUAUCAGCAAUUGUAUUUCCUUUUGUUUGCACAUCCUACUCAUAUGACCCAACGAACCACACUUGAAACAUACUUUUGGCAUUCAUUCGUAUUUGAAAUGAAUCCAUUGAACCUUCCAUUUGAUUUCUUACUAUGGAAUCCUGAUAUGAAAGGCAUGUCAACCUUGAUAAGGGCCUUGAUUCUGAGCAUAUGCGGCAGUCUCCGAAUCCCUUCUUGAGAAAAAUUGACAUCAACGAAACCCCCUAAAAACUCUCCGAUGGUUUUUGCAUUAAAGAGAGUCAUUUUGUUUGGAGUAACCCAAAAAGGUUAAAGUUUAAAUUAGAAGGCCUUUCCCUUAUGACCAAGAGACUGUUGUGAAUAAAUCAUGGCCUGCCUGCAUAACAUUAACAACAUCGACAUCAUAAGCAAAAGAGAAGGUCUAAGUUUUACUACUAAACAUUAGACAAAACAGCUUUGAUUGUGGUUGCGCUGUAAUUUUUCCCUGCAAGCAGUUUGCCUACCAAUAACUUCUUCUAGAUUAGUUGUCCUCGAAAAUAAUAUUCCUCUACCUGUAAAAUUGGUUCAUCGCAUUUAAGAUUCUGGGCCAUAAUGAUUAUCUCUAUCAUUUCUUUAUCAAUAUUUGCCAUGUUUCUGGUCAUUGUUGAAGAAGCUUCUCUCCACAAUA